CCUGAGGCAAAGGCAGGGGUGUUCUGUCAGUCAGGAAGUGUGCCAACCCCGGCAGAGCACCUUUGACACCCACGACCUAUGUAUCACCAAGUCAGUUUUUGCCAAAGGAAACAGAAGGACCACCCACCCAGGAUGGGACUAGGAGGCAGAACUGUAACUUCUCCCCAGUAACUGAAUGCCUGGGGUUUGCAGAGCAGUACGUAGAGGAGGUUGCACACGCCCACCCGCCCAAGGAACACCAAGGAAACUUCUACGUCAGAAACAUCUUUAGAGCGGAGGAAGGAUUGGAGGCUGAGGCUGUUGCAAGCAUGCCUGAAGCCCCGGGUUCCAUCCCCAGCACCACGCAAAAUCCUGGAAUCCCAGCCCUCUGGAGGUAGAUGCAAAAAAACCAGAAGUUCGAGGCCAGCCUGGGCUAGCUAACCUUCCUGCCCUGAGAAGAUCCUUCCCUUUGCCCGGGCAUCCUGCCCUAGCCCUCCUGCCUCCACACACACUACCAUCUACGCUGUCCGGUCCCAUCUGUCCCAGGUCUCCCUCUGAACCAACUCUGGUUAGUCUAACCAGCCAGCUUGCCUGGGAGACCCUCCGAGCACUGGGAUUACAGGCAGCCUUUAUAACUGCCUAGAUGUCAGAAAGCUUGAAUAUCACAACAACUGCCUUUUGUGUAGUCACCCGAAAAGCCCAUGGUAACUGUCAACAAAGACAACGGUCCUCUGAGCUCCUCUGAUACCUGCUUGUUGUUCAGCAUGACCUCUUUAUCCCUUAACUUAAUGUAAAUGGGAAAUGAAGGACACGUUCUGUGCUCAGGACUGCCUCGAGCCAAAGUUUCUGCAGCUAACCAAGGGCGGAGGUGUCCCACGGUAGCCGCUACAACAAACUAUCUGAACAAACAGCAUACAGAAGAAAGGGCUAAUCUUGGUUUAGUUUUGGUCCAGGGUCGCCAGGUUCCAUUACCUACGCCUGAGGUGAAGCCGACAUCCAGGUAGUGCGCAUGUGCAGAGGGGAAAGAUUUUAGUGCGUGCAGCUGGCAUGCAAGAGGAGGAGAAAGAAGGGCCGAGGCAUAGCCUUCAAAGACGUCCUCUAGUGACCUCACUCACCAGUGAGGCUUCUCUUUCCUUGAUUUGCCACUUUUCCAUCUUCCGUUUUGAAUCCGUCGGUGGAACCAGCUCCACUCAACCACCUGUGGCAUCACCUGCACAGGCCACACAGGGGUGUGAUGUCGUGACCUCAGUGUCUCCAGUUCCGAUCAAGCUGACAAGAAUAACCAUCACAGACCCUCCCCACCUGUUCCCACCUGCCUGUUCCACCCCUAUGAACAGGGUAGCCUUCAUUUCACGCUGAACUGAGAGCUAUGGAAAUAACUGCCGAUCGGUUUUCACUGCAGGCCAGUUUCCCCAAACGAUGUCCGUUCCCCCAUCCUGCUCCCAUAGCUCCUCCUAAUUCUAUGGGCAAGCUCUGUGCUGCUAUGUCUUUUAAGAGUGAACUGAGGGAUUUUAUGUCACAUCAGUUCUGUGAUCUCUGCUGCAAUAGUAAGCUAUCUAAAACGCUGAGCCAGUUCACGCUUUAAGUUAUCUGUGCUCUGUUUCAUUUUAUUCUCUUGUCUGUAUAAACAGCCCCUGGUUCUGUAUUAGAUAGUAAGACUCCUUAGAUAUGAUUAUAACUUGCUCAAUUCAGGUUAUAAAAUUUAGUUGAAACUUUCUCUCCUGAGAAAUCAGGAAAUUGGGCAGAGGAAGGAGUUUCCUAAGAAAUUACAUAUAUAUGUCUAUCUGUCUAUCUAUCUAUCUAUCUAUCUAUCUAUCUGUGUUCACAUGCACACACACACACACACACAUACACACACACACUUUGAAUUUCACCUUUCUAGCACACCCUUUAGAGUCAGUGUGAAGGACUAGUGUGUCCUGUCACCCCUAGGUUCACAUGCUGAUACCUAACACCAUUGCUAGAGUUCUAGGAGGCCGGACCUUUGGAGGGUGAUUAAGAUCCCAGGAAUGGCAUCUUUAUGAGUGUAACCAGUGAUCUUAUUAAAGACUCCAGAAAACACUCUUGUCUCCUCUACCAUUCGAGGCUGUGGUGAGAAGCCAUCAAACCACAGCUCUGAAGAUGGGCCUCAUCAGGAUCUACGCGCUCUGGCACAGCUGGCAUUGGGUCUGCAGCCUCCGGAACUGUGAGAAAGAAAUGUGUUAUUUAUAAACUACUUGGUUUGCAGGACUUUGUUAUAGCAGCCCAAACUCAUGAGGGCCUGAGGUUUACUGGGGGAUUUAGAGUCCUGAAAACAGAAGUCCGGAGACCCGUGCUAUGCGCUCCCAGAUCCUCAGUAAAUAUUUUAUGAAGGUUGCUUUUAGUCACCGAGAAAGGGAAGACAGACAAGUGGACUUCCAGCUGGGCCGAGGGCUACCCAAACAGUGAAGAGAAGCCCUUUGAGUCUUCUGGGUCACCACUGGUCACAUGCCUCUGCUCACUGGGCUACUCCACUGCUCUGGCUGCGGUUUUCUCAUUUCUCUUGGGAGUUACUCUGCUUGCUUUAGGUCAGUUUUUCUUCUGCUGAACCAUUUGGCCUGUGUUAGCUGAGCUAUCCUUGAUCUCCAAAUGAGCUGUGGUAUGUGUUUGGUAUCACUGCAAGUGGAAGUCCACCAUGGAUAGUUCCUCAUCAUUUAGUGGCUGUGUAUCAAGUCAAUGUUCUGUCUAUAUGGGUGUUUUUGUUCAAAUGCUUUCAAAAGCCCAAUGUCCAAUCUGUUUUCUGAGACCAAUGACAAUCUCUUAACUGUGAGCCCUUGUAAAACUAAAGAAAAAAGUUACAUACUUCCAGUACAUCAUAGCAUGAAGUAAACAUUUUUGUUUUGUUUGUUUGUUUUGUUUUGUUUUGUUUUU
Molecule: long non-coding RNA, 2868 nt
Organism: Meriones unguiculatus (Mongolian gerbil)
Lineage: Eukaryota; Metazoa; Chordata; Mammalia; Rodentia; Muridae
Exons: 5
Source: RefSeq, a predicted model, not a curated record